GCAGGGCGGCAGCUACACAUGCAGUCGAACGAGAUCUUCGGAUCUAGUGGCGCACGGGUGAGUAACGCGUGGGAACCUACCUUUUAGUACGGGACAACGUUUGGAAACGAACGCUAAUACCAUAUACGCCCUCCGGGGGAAAGGUCAGCCGCUAAAAGAGGGGCCCGCGUCUGAUUAGCUUGUUGGUAAGGUAACGGCUUACCAAGGCAACGAUCAGUAGCUGGUCUGAGAGGAUGAUCAGCCACACUGGGACUGAGACACGGCCCAGACUCCUACGGGAGGCAGCAGUGGGGAAUAUUGGACAAUGGAGGCAACUCUGAUCCAGCAAUGCCGCGUGUGUGAUGAAGGCCCUAGGGUUGUAAAGCACUUUCAACGGUGAAGAUGAUGACGGUAGCCGUAGAAGAAGCCCCGGCUAACUUCGUGCCAGCAGCCGCGGUAAUACGAAGGGGGCGAGCGUUAUUCGGAAUUAUUGGGCGUAAAGGGCUCGCAGGCUGCUUGAACAGUUAGACGUGAAAUCCCCGGGCUUAACCUGGGAACCGCGUUUAAUACUAGCAAGCUAGAGAAAUAGAGAGGAAAGUGGAACUCCCAGUGUAGAGGUGAAAUUCGUAGAUAUUGGGAAGAACACCAGUGGCGAAAGCGACUUUCUGGCUAUUUUCUGACGCUGAGGAGCGAAAGCGUGGGGAGCAAACAGGAUUAGAUACCCUGGUAGUCCACGCCGUAAACGAUGUGUGCUAGAUGUUGGAG
Molecule: ribosomal RNA, 744 nt
Filed under: uncultured bacterium
Lineage: Bacteria
Description: bacterial SSU rRNA
Rfam family: Bacterial small subunit ribosomal RNA
Source: RNAcentral